This 478-nucleotide ribosomal RNA is filed under the name uncultured bacterium. RNAcentral's name for it is "partial 16S ribosomal RNA". It matches the Rfam family "Bacterial small subunit ribosomal RNA", at positions 28 to 507 of the family's 1533-position model. The record is from RNAcentral.
GAUUAACGCUGGCGGCGUGCAUAACACAUGCAAGUCGAACGAUGAAACUCAUUAGAUUUCUUCGGAAUGAAAAUGAAUGGAUUAGUGGCGAACGGGUGAGUAACGCGUGAGUAACCUGCCUUACACAAGGGGAUAGCCUCUGGAAACGGAGAAUAAUACCCUAUGAAACCAGACAAUCGCAUGAUAAUCUGGUCAAAAUGGUUAGUGGUGUAAGAUGGACUUGCGUCUGAUUAGCUAGUUGGUGAGAUAAAAGCUCACCAAGGCAACGAUCAGUAGCCGGCUUGAGAGAGUGUACGGCCACAUUGGGACUGAGACACGGCCCAGACUCCUACGGGAGGCAGCAGUGGGGAAUUUUGCACAAUGGGGGAAACCCUGAUGCAGCGACGCCGCGUGAUUUAGAAGGCCUUCGGGUUGUAAAAAUCUUUUGUAUAGGAAGAAAAUGACAGUACUAUACGAAUAAGGUCCGGCUAAUUACGUG